Molecule: small RNA, 82 nt
Filed under: Flavobacterium xueshanense
Lineage: Bacteria; Pseudomonadati; Bacteroidota; Flavobacteriia; Flavobacteriales; Flavobacteriaceae
Description: Flavo-1 RNA
Rfam family: Flavo-1 RNA
Source: RNAcentral
UCCUAGCCCUGAAGGUAGCGGCAUCCUAUUUUGAGAGCCUUUUUGGCGAACAAAAAAGAUACAGCGGAUAGCAGGAAAUUGC